GGAUUGUGGCUCAGUGGCAGAGUGCUUGCCUCGCACAUAUGAGGCACUGGGUUCAAGUCUCAGCACCA
This 68-nucleotide transfer RNA is filed under the name Marmota monax (woodchuck). RNAcentral describes it as "tRNA.Ala". The record is from RNAcentral. Lineage: Eukaryota; Metazoa; Chordata; Mammalia; Rodentia; Sciuridae.